CAGUCGAGGGGUAUAGUUCUUCGGAACUAGAGACCGGCGCACGGGUGCGUAACGCGUAUGCAAUCUACCUUUUACAGAGGGAUAGCCCAGAGAAAUUUGGAUUAAUACCUCAUAGUAUAUAGCCCUGGCAUCAGGAUUAUAUUAAAGUCACAACGGUAAAAGAUGAGCAUGCGUCCCAUUAGCUAGUUGGUAAGGUAACGGCUUACCAAGGCUACGAUGGGUAGGGGUCCUGAGAGGGAGAUCCCCCACACUGGUACUGAGACACGGACCAGACUCCUACGGGAGGCAGCAGUGAGGAAUAUUGGACAAUGGGCGCAAGCCUGAUCCAGCCAUGCCGCGUGCAGGAUGACGGUCCUAUGGAUUGUAAACUGCUUUUAUACGAGAAGAAACACUCCUUCGUGAAGGAGCUUGACGGUAUCGUAAGAAUAAGGAUCGGCUAACUCCGUGCCAGCAGCCGCGGUAAUACGGAGGAUCCAAGCGUUAUCCGGAAUCAUUGGGUUUAAAGGGUCCGUAGGCGGUUUAAUAAGUCAGUGGUGAAAGCCCAUCGCUCAACGGUGGAACGGCCAUUGAUACUGUUAGACUUGAAUUAUUAGGAAGUAACUAGAAUAUGUAGUGUAGCGGUGAAAUGCUUAGAGAUUACAUGGAAUACCAAUUGCGAAGGCAGGUUACUACUAAUUGAUUGACGCUGAUGGACGAAAGCGUGGGUAGCGAACAGGAUUAGAUACCCUGGUAGUCCACGCCGUAAACGAUGGAUACUAGCUGUUGGAAGCAAUUUCAGUGGCUAAGCGAAAGUGAUAAGUAUCCCACCUGGGGAGUACGUUCGCAAGAAUGAAACU
Molecule: ribosomal RNA, 836 nt
Filed under: uncultured bacterium
Lineage: Bacteria
Description: bacterial SSU rRNA
Rfam family: Bacterial small subunit ribosomal RNA
Source: RNAcentral